Molecule: signal recognition particle RNA, 268 nt
Filed under: Candidatus Zixiibacteriota bacterium
Lineage: Bacteria; Pseudomonadati; Candidatus Zixiibacteriota
Description: candidate division Zixibacteria bacterium signal recognition particle sRNA large type
Rfam family: Bacterial large signal recognition particle RNA
About the family: The signal recognition particle (SRP) is a universally conserved ribonucleoprotein involved in the co-translational targeting of proteins to membranes.
Source: RNAcentral
CUGUGCUAGGCGGGGAGUUAGCGGUGCCCUGUAGCCCGAAAUCCGCUAUAGCGGGGCCGAAUACCCACCCUUAGAGGUCGCUUCGACGGCCGGAUCCGGAAAGCACGUGAUGUUGAAGGUCAAGUCCCACGCAAUGGGAUCUCGCCCAACCCCGUCAGGCCCGGGAGGGAGCAGCGGUCAGCGAUCAUUCCAUGUGCCGUGGGGGAGCUUGGCUGGAAUCGGCGACUUUCCGGUGAAGCGCCCGCGAGCGAUCGAAGGUGGGGCACAG